RNAcentral lists this long non-coding RNA (900 nucleotides) under Fragaria vesca (wild strawberry). RNAcentral describes it as "long non-coding RNA (FVES_LNC002602)". Lineage: Eukaryota; Viridiplantae; Streptophyta; Magnoliopsida; Rosales; Rosaceae. The record is from RNAcentral.
AAUAUAAGUUCCAGAUUGGAGGCUUUAGAAUACAAUAGGCAAGAACAAUGAUUUAUCUUUAAUUGGAAUCAACUCUUGGUAACAUUAUAAUACUUUAAACCCAACUUCUACAACCAGGUUCAUCCGAUUCAUAGACCUUUUUCAUGAAACAAAAAUAAAUUUUCGUUUGCAAUCUUCAAGCACAACAAUUUCUUAUCCUCCAAAUUCUUUCAUACCACACAACAAACGUCAUUAUACCUAUCGUCUAUAGAGGUUCGUAUUAGUCGCAAUUGAAGGAAAUGGAUGACGUCGAUGUAAAAGAGUGAACAAAGUUUAUAGAAUUGCAGAUGUAAAACUUACCGGAUACGCGAAAUAAAAGACGUUUGACGCCCAAUUUGGAACACCAAUCUGAGUCUUCGGAUCGAUGAGAUCACUUUUCACGUUGAUACCUGAAAAUAAUGACGAAGCGGUGCAGAUAUGUGAAGAGAUAUGAACAAUGAAGAAACAGAGGAAGCGGUGCGCAUUAGGAGGUUUUGUAGACUUUUCUAUAGCGAGCAGAUGUCUCACAGUGAAUAGUGGGUUGAUUAGAUAGAAAAAGUACAAAAUUGUAAUUGAAAACAAUCACCCAAAGUCCCAAACCCAGAUUUCAGAAAUUUAUAAGCAAAGAACGGGCAAAGAGGGACAUGGAGAGAAUGACCAGAAGUUAAUGAACGGUAGUAGCUUUCUAGGUGCAAACUGCCUCUGGAAGCAAUCGCCAUUCUCAAUCGGUUCUCUUUCACUUUCUCAUCCGUCUCUAUCUCUUUCUGCCUUUCUCAGCCAUCUCUAUCUCUUUUUGCGUGGCAACAGAAGAAAGACACGCGUGAUAGUGCGGUGGCAACCCAGAAGAGGCGGUUAGGGAGAAAAUAGUAGAACCGUGAAUAA